RNAcentral lists this ribosomal RNA (483 nucleotides) under uncultured bacterium. RNAcentral describes it as "partial 16S ribosomal RNA". It matches the Rfam family "Bacterial small subunit ribosomal RNA", at positions 30 to 506 of the family's 1533-position model. The record is from RNAcentral.
AUUGAACGCUGGCGGCAGGCCUAACACAUGCAAGUCGAGCGGAUGAAGGGAGCUUGCUCCUGGAUUCAGCGGCGGACGGGUGAGUAAUGCCUAGGAAUCUGCCUGGUAGUGGGGGAUAACGUCCGGAAACGGGCGCUAAUACCGCAUACGUCCUGAGGGAGAAAGUGGGGGAUCUUCGGACCUCACGCUAUCAGAUGAGCCUAGGUCGGAUUAGCUAGUUGGUGGGGUAAAGGCCUACCAAGGCGACGAUCCGUAACUGGUCUGAGAGGAUGAUCAGUCACACUGGAACUGAGACACGGUCCAGACUCCUACGGGAGGCAGCAGUGGGGAAUAUUGGACAGUGGGCGAAAGCCUGAUCCAGCCAUGCCGCGUGUGUGAAGAAGGUCUUCGGAUUGUAAAGCACUUUAAGUUGGGAGGAAGGGCAGUAAGUUAAUACCUUGCUGUUUUGACGUUACAAACAGAAUAAGCACCGGCUAACUUCGU